AGAAUCGGAUGUAACUUUUUCUUUAGAUGUCCAUGGAUAUAUUAUUUGCCUGAUUCCGAGUCCGUAUGAGAAAGUUACGCCCAUUUUAA
Molecule: ribosomal RNA, 89 nt
Filed under: Oryza glaberrima (African rice)
Lineage: Eukaryota; Viridiplantae; Streptophyta; Magnoliopsida; Poales; Poaceae
Description: rRNA EPlOGLG00000000390
Source: RNAcentral